AACGAACGCCGGCGGCAUGCCUAACACAUGCAAGUCGAACGAGACCUUCGGGUCUAGUGGCGCACGGGUGCGUAACGCGUGGGAACCUGCCCUUAGGUUCGGAAUAACUCCCCGAAAGGGGUGCUAAUACCGGAUAAUGUCUUCGGACCAAAGAUUUAUCGCCUUUGGAUGGGCCCGCGUUGGAUUAGCUAGUUGGUAGGGUAAAAGCCUACCAAGGCGACGAUCCAUAGCUGGUCUGAGAGGAUGAUCAGCCACACUGGGACUGAGACACGGCCCAGACUGCUACGGGAGGCAGCAGUGGGGAAUAUUGGACGAUGGGGGAAAGCCUGAUCCAGCAAUGCCGCGUGAGUGAUGAAGGCCUUAGGGUUGUAAAGCUCUUUUACCCGGGAUGAUAAUGACAGUACCGGGAGAAUAAGCUCCGGCUAACUCCGUG
Molecule: ribosomal RNA, 433 nt
Filed under: uncultured bacterium
Lineage: Bacteria
Description: partial 16S ribosomal RNA
Rfam family: Bacterial small subunit ribosomal RNA
Source: RNAcentral